GGCGUCGGAAGGGUCCAGUGUUCGUCUGCGGGCCGUGGAAGUCACACGGCUGGAGACGGCACAGGAGCCUUCCGAAGCUGAUCUGCUGGCUGUGUCCAUGGAACUGGACACUGAAGCUAUAAUGGGAAGGACUUGGAAGCUGUAAGCUCCCUCUUCCUCUGCUCCGGAGGUCCCUGCGCCACCCCAGCGCUCCCUGCCGACGGCUGAACCGGAAAAGCAGCCAGUGCCUACUGCUGACGUGCUUCUGCCCGAGGGCUGGAAGCAGACGCUGCCCAGAGAGCAGCAUCAGUGGGUCAGCCGGGCGCUCUUCACCAGAGAGCAGUCUGGGAGGCCGGCGCUGCCCAAGAAUCUGAGUCUGUGGUGGUCGACUCCCGGACCCUGGCUGGUAUAUGCGCAACCUCCGUCUUCGCCCGACGCCUU
Non-coding RNA from Electrophorus electricus (electric eel), 420 nucleotides. The record is from RefSeq and is a predicted model, not a curated record. NCBI's taxonomy places the organism in Eukaryota, Metazoa, Chordata, Actinopteri, Gymnotiformes, Gymnotidae.